This 208-nucleotide long non-coding RNA is filed under the name Brassica napus (rape). Its description in RNAcentral is "long non-coding RNA (BNAP_LNC024041)". Lineage: Eukaryota; Viridiplantae; Streptophyta; Magnoliopsida; Brassicales; Brassicaceae. The record is from RNAcentral.
UGUAUUUGAGAGAAACAGGCUUGAAGAGAUGUUUUAUUAGAUAGAACAAGCCGGAACUACAAUGUUUGGUGUAUAAACCCUAGUUCUAGCCGCCUAGCUUUACUACCUAAGUCUUGAAGUGUCGAUCCCUUGCUGUAGGAUUUACGCUCCCCUUAUAUAGUUGUUUUAGGUCGGCCUUAGUCGGUUUGAGUAGGUUAAACUAUUCCAA